RNAcentral lists this ribosomal RNA (471 nucleotides) under uncultured Anoxybacillus sp. RNAcentral describes it as "bacterial SSU rRNA". It matches the Rfam family "Bacterial small subunit ribosomal RNA", at positions 916 to 1381 of the family's 1533-position model. Lineage: Bacteria; Bacillati; Bacillota; Bacilli; Caryophanales; Anoxybacillaceae. The record is from RNAcentral.
ACGGGGCCCGCACAAGCAGUGGAGCAUGUGGUUUAAUUCGAUGCAACGCGAAGAACCUUACCUGGGCUUGAACUGCAGGCGUAGUCGCUUGAAAGGGCGGCGAACUCCUUCGGGAAGACCUGUAGAGGUGCUGCAUGGCUGUCGUCAGCUCGUGUCGUGAGAUGGUUGGGUUAGGUCCCGCAACGAGCGCAACCCUCGACCUUAGUUGCCAGCAUUCAGUUGGGCACUCUAAGGUGACUGAACCGGCUAAAGUCGGAGGAAGGUGGGAUGACGUCAAAUCAUCAUGCCCCUUAUGACCUGGGCUACACACGUGCUACAAUGGGCGGUACAAAGGGUCGCGAACCCGCGAGGGGGAGCCAAUCCCAAAAAGCCGCUCUCAGUUCGGAUUGCAGGCUGCAACUCGCCUGCAUGAAGCCGGAAUCGCUAGUAAUCGCGGAUCAGCAUGCCGCGGUGAAUACGUUCCCGGGCCUU